Molecule: long non-coding RNA, 574 nt
Filed under: Lathyrus oleraceus (garden pea)
Lineage: Eukaryota; Viridiplantae; Streptophyta; Magnoliopsida; Fabales; Fabaceae
Description: Pisum sativum (pea) long non-coding RNA (PSAT_LNC039715)
Source: RNAcentral
CGAACUCUUUCUGGCUGAAGGAGUACUCAACUCCAAAAAGCCUGAAAGCAGCAUACCCAUCUGGUCCAGAAUAUGGGUCGUAGUCGAAUGAACUCAGGAACUCCAAAGUCAGGUUCCUAUAUGUGUUACUCAAGUCAUCAGCAAAUGCGUCCUAGUGGAGCUGGUGGCUAAGGAAUCGGAUACUAGGCUCGAUACCUAGUGCCUCCAUACAAUGUUGAUCAGGGUAACGUGUGGGUGCCAUAGGGCGCUGGUAUAAAGCAAUGUAGCGCUCCCUCUGAGCGUUGUCUCUAUAGGCAACAUGCAUGUCAUCAAAACCCUGCAUCCUGUGAAAGUUAGGAAAGUGAUCCUGAAAAUACAAACCAUUCAAACUUUAGUCUCAAUGCAAAAUAAGAUAAAAUAAAAAUAAAAAUAGAAAUAAAUGUAAAUAAAUGCGAAAAAAGUAAAAUGAAAAGAAAAACCAUGGGUUGCCUCCCACGCAACGCUUUUUUAAUGUCAUUAGCUUGACGAUCAGAAUUUAUACACCUGUAGUAGUAUGAAUCGGUGGAUCAAUCAGGGUGUGGCUCGAGUAGUAUGC